UAUUAUUCGUGAGUCCUGAGGGCAAGAGGCACAGCUGACUGAGUGUGUGUGACAUUUGAACCCUUGUUCUGAAGGGUCCACCCCCUGCUUCACAUAGGUGUGUGCAUCCAGUCCAGCCCUUCCAAUGCUGAUGGAUCACCAAAAGCUGAUUGACACAGUAAAAGGUCAUAAAGACACACAAAAAUAAAGACACAAGAGAGCACAGAUAAACAAUGAUCAGGAGAGAGGCAGUAACUGGAGAAUAAACAAGGCCUUAUGCCCCCAAAUGCCCACCUCAAAAAACAUUUAUCCAGUCAGCAUGGUCAACGGUCAGGGAUCAUGGCUCUUGCAUUUCAGGAAGCUAGAUCUGCAAGGCACACAGUUGUCUCCCACCACCACCACCACAAUAUCAAUGUCUCUAAUAAUGGCAAGCUCUCCUGAGUCCCCACUUGAUUCUAGCCUUCCUUUCUCCUGAAGUUACUACUUUAGAGGUAAAAAGGUAAAGGACCCCUGGACAGUUAAGUCCAGUCAAAGGUGACUAUAGGGUGUGCUGCUCAUCUCGCUUCAGGCUGAGGGAGAUGGCGUUUGUCCACAGACAGCUUUCCGGGUCAUGUGACCAGCAUGACUAAAACCACUUCUCGUGCAAUGGGAUUACUAGGUUGCUACUUUAUAAGCUGUUGCAACACAAUGUCAGUACCCAAGAGUGUCAGUAUUAAUUGCAAAUGAAAGCUGGUGCAAGUGCAGGUUGGUGAUUUGUGUUUGUGAAAGUUGACCUAUUUGGCACAGGUGUGUGUGGUGGCUGUGGGGUGGGAUGAGGUGGGGGAUUUGGUGAUCUGCAAACUUCAGGAUGGCCAGGGGUGGGAGGAUGGUUGGGUUGGUAAGCAGAGCGAUCAGGAGCAGCAACCUCGAGUUAUUAUAUGCAUGUUUGUGAACCUCUUCGAGCUUCUAUAAAAUCAAGUGGUAUAUGUAUUUUAUAAAAUGAAUCAGCAGUGGGGGCUCUGUCCCUCCCCCAGCUCCCCUGAUCCCCGACUACUGACCAGUGGAGAUGUGAGACCUGGGAAGCCAUGAUAACAAGAGCCUCCAUAUUUUUUUCUUCCUGUUGAGCUAAGUAAGCAAAUAUGCAUAUAAAUUAACAUAUGCUAAUCCAAAAUACAUGUAUGCCCCAUCUCUCUUCAGGAACUACCACCAACACUUGUAUCUCAGCCCUGUAAACCAUUCCACAUGGGUUUAUUGAGUUCAAUGGGGCUUAACCUUUCUGAUGACAAGAGUUGCUCAACAGGGAGUGGACUCCCUUGGAAGGUGAGGGGCUCUCUUUGACUGGAGGUUUCAAAACAGAGGUUGGAUGGCCAUUUGUCAGGGCUUCUUCAGCUGUGAUUCCUUCAUUGCAGGGUGUUGGUCUACAUGACCCCUUGGGAUCCCUCCCAACUCUCCUAUUCCACGAUUCUACAUGGGCUUACUUGAGUUCAAUGGGGCUUGCCUCUAGAUAAGUGUUCACAGGCUGACAGCCUUAAUCUCUUACUGAUGCUUCCAAUCAUCCCAGCUCCUCCAUGAAAGAACAUAAAUACUUUCCUUGGGCCAGCAGAUGGUGCUUUGGGCUGAUAAACCCUCACAGGAACCCCGUCAAAAUGCAGAUCUUUUGCAGAGAGGCUGGGAUCCACUCUUGGAUUCCAGAAACUCUGGAGGAAGCGGAUAAAGGCAACCUGUCUGCAGAUACCCAGCAGUUCAAGACACUUCCCCUGUUGGGCAAAGGAAAAAUCUCAUUCAAUAGUGCCCACAUUUGCAUCCUAUUCACAGGGGGUGGUAUCCAAAUAAGUCCUAUUUAAAGAAGCCCAUGAAAAUGAAUGAGUCCAUGUUAACCAUGUCCAUUAAUUUCUAUUGGUCAGCUUUGAAUUGGUCACCCCAACCCAAACACCCGCCAAGGUACAGAGGCAAAAGAAGCUGGGAAACAAGCUAAACUUUGGAGAAACAAUCCACAAUCUCCUUGCUUGCCUAUGAGGCAAUAUGUGCUUUCCUGAAGAAACCAUGAUGCAAACAAACCAUGGCUUGGUGUGAAUAAUAUAUUUGUCUUUAUGUGUGUCCCUCUAUAGGUUGAAAAGGAAGCCCUUGUUGAAUUUGAUAAUAUCUUCAUCACAUCAUCAUCAAGUGAAUUCAUUGAUUUUACUGAUUUCAUUAUUCAUGUUGGAUUAAGCAGUAUAUGAAUUACUUAAAUAUAUAAACUGUUGUUAUUAUUAUUAAUUAAAAAUACUGCCCUUCAUGGAAGGAUCAAAGGGUGGUUCACAGCAUAAAAAAACAAGAUAAAAACACAAAAUACAUAACAAAAACAAGCACAAAGCAAAUCAAUCACGCCUUUAAAAUAUAUAGAAAUGUUAUACAUAAAAGAUAUAGAAACUAAUAACACCUCUCCCUCAAACAAAUUUGAAAGGACUUAGAAAUGUUUUUGCUUGGCAUCUAAAGAUGUGUAAAGAUCACUAAUAAGAAUAAGAAUAAUGACGGCACAUUUCUUAAUCAUCUUUCACAUAAGAACAUAAGAAGAACCACCACAUAAUCUCACAUAAUCAGAACAUCAACAGCAAUUUCAUGGGUUUGGCAAUGGAGCAAGGUGUGUUGUUCUACUCAGGAGUGUCAAGCCUGGCCACUGAUCAAUCCAGUUCCAUAGUGUCUGUCCCAGAGCUCUUCGGCUUUACAUACCGGGUGUUAAUUGCCUGAAGUUCACAACAUCCGCAGCCAGCUUAAGCCUGUAGUCAGGAAUGGUGGGAGUCCUUGUCCGAGGUGGAAGAGGACUUGUGUGCACUGCCUGGCCCAAGAUUUCCAAGGCUUCAGACACGAGUCCCAUUCCUAUCCAGAGAUCUCAGGGAUGGAACUUAUGCCCUUGCAUAUUCAAAGCAUAGGCUCUUCUUCUGAGGUACGGGCCUCAUAGCUAAAUGCAAGUCCGUGUUGAGAUGAAGUUUUCAUUAAAACGUUUUCAGUAAAGAUUUUCUUGGGUUACAAAAGCACACACAUCACCUCCGUUUUCUGAUCAUAAUGUCCUUUUUACAUAUCAGUUAAAUUCAAUGUGAGCCUUAAUCUUGUAUACAGUAUAAGGUUGGGGGAGAAGUGCGGGGGAAGAGGGUGGGGAUAGGGAGUAGUAAACUUUCAUUCUUCUACAUACUGUAUGCGCAGGGUUUCAAGGUGAUUUCCCUUCUUUUGGAUGAGAUGGAUUUAGAGGGAGGUUUAGACCAUAGUUUAGACCUGCCCCUCUUGCUACGCCCAUGUACCUGAGGCCAGAUUCCAGAUACGUUAGCAUUCAUUUAUUUUUAAACCUCUGAGCCUCCAAUCUGUCAGAACCAGGAUGCUGGGUUAAAAUGCAUGAAUGCCAAAGGAAGGGAAAUCUCCUGAAUGACAUAGCUGUCCAUAAUUAUGGCUCGUCAUGAUAAAUGUUUUUUAUUUUAUUUUUAUUUUUAUUUUUGCAACGUAUCUACUUUAUUUAGAAUUCAACAAUAACAAAGGAAAAAACCACAGUAAUUGUUACAUCAACUCAUUACAAUUAACCGAUUUUAACAAUACAGUGGUACCUCGGGUUAAGAACUUAAUUCAUUCUGGAGGUCUGUUCUUAACCUGAAACUGUUCUUAACCUGAAGCACCACUUAGCUAAUGGGGCCUCCAGCUGCCGCUGCGCGAUUUCUGUUCUCAUCCUGAAGCAAAGUGCUUAACCCAAGGUACUAUUUCUGGGUUAGCAGAGUCUGUAACCUGAAGUGUCUGUAACCUGAAGAGUGUGUAACCCAAGGUACCACUGUAUAUAAAUAGUAAUAGAAAAAUUACACAUCACUUUUAACUUACUGAAGUUUUCAUAUUACACUUUUAUCUCUUUAGCUCUUUCUAACAAAUCAAAAAGAGAAAGGCCAAGAAAGGAGGCACAAAAAAUAAAAGAGAAAGGAGGAAGAAAAGGGGGGGAAGAGGGGGCAGGAAAAAAGAAAGAAGGGGGAAAACACAAAAUAAACACAUUUGACUUACAAUUAGACUCAUUAUAUUAUUAUUUCUACUAUUUUUUCACACACAGUUCCAAAUUAUUGUAUUACUUUCUUUGUUUUCAUCAGAUAUCAAAAACAUUAUAUUUGUUUUUUCAAGGAUCAUUCUAUUUCUGCCAGGAGAUAUUUAUUACUGUAAUGUUUUUCCAGAUACUCUUUAAAGAUUUUCCAUUCUUUCUGUACUUUCUGUUUUGGAUAACCUCUAAUUCUCCCUGUUAUCAUGGCCAUCUGUAAAUAUUCUAUCCUUUGGACCUGCCACUCAUUUAUCGUAGGUGUUUUGUCACUUUUCCAGUUUCUUGCAAUUAAGAUCCUGGAUGCUACUGUUGUGUAUAUAAAAAGUGGUCUACUGUAAUUUCGUUUUUGAUUUCUGAUGACAUUAUUCCUAGGAGGAAGGUUUCUGGUUUUUUCUUAAAUUAAUAAAUGCUUUUUUAAAAGGUACUGAACUUCAAUAUAGCCAGGAGGCAGAACAGAACUUUGAACCCUUCUAAUUCUUUCCCUUAUAGUCUUGCAAUUAACAGGUCUUAAAUGAGUUUUUGGUUGUUGUUGCUGCUGUUGCUGUUGUCUUCCACACACAUCUCAGGGUGAUUCACAAAACACAAAAGAAGGAGCAGCUUCAAACAUUAAAAGAUCAGAAAGCAAACUGCAGAUUGCUGGAGUAAAAGCAUGAGAUUAUUCCUCCCUAAGUGUAGAACCUUGCAUUGAACUCUUUUGAAAUUCAUUUUGUUGGUUUUGGCCAUAUUUUCUAAUCUGCUAUGGUCCUGUUGAAUCCUGAUUCUAUUAGCUACUCCCCUCCCUGUUUGGUGUCAUCUGCAGAUUGAAUGAGCAUCCUCUCAAUUCCUUCAUCCAAGUCAUUUAUAAUGGCAUUGGCAACAAUGGGGCCAGGACAGAACCCUGUGGCACUCCACUUGUCACUUUUUUCCAGGAUGCUGAAGAACCAUUGGAGAGCACUCUUUGGGUUCUGCUAGUCAACCAGCUACAAAUCCACCUAACAGUAACAUUGUCUAGCCCACAUAUUACCACUUUCUCUUCAAGGAGAUCAAAAAGUAGCUCAAGAAGCAGUAACUUGUUCCAUAUGACCUGAAUCUUUCAACAUUCUUCUCCAUUGGAUGUUCCCAAAGUUCUAGUAUUAUGGGAGGAAAACUGUUCCCCAUCCAUUUUCUCCAAACCACACAUCAGUUUAUAUACAUCAGUCAUACCCCUUCUAUCUCUUUCUCUAAACUAAAAUCCCUCAAACAUUGUCAAUUUUCCUUGUAGUGGAGUUCUUCCACUCCCUUGGUCAUUUUGGUUGCCCAUUUUAGGUACUUCUCCAACUCCUAAAUAUCCUUUUCAGGAUGAGGCAACCUAGAAAUUAACCUAUGACCAUUUCUCAUCAGUAUGCGGAUGAUACCCAGCUCUACCUCUCUUUUAAAUCGGAACCAGUAAAUGGGGUGAAGGUCCUGUGUGAGUGUCUGGAGGCAGUUGGAGGAUGGAUGGCGGCUAACAGAUUGAGGUUGAAUCCUGACAAGACAGAAGUACUGUUUCUGGGGGACAGGGGGCGGGUGGGUGUGGUGGACACCCUGGUCCUGAAUGGGGUAACUGUGCCUCUGAAGGACUAUGUGUGCAGCCUAGGAGUCAUUUUGGACUCACAGCUUUCCAUGGAGGUGCAGGUCAAUUCUGUGUCCAGGGUAGCUGUCUACGAGCUCCAUCUGGUAUGUAGGCUGAGGCCCUACCUGCCAGUGGACUGCCUUGCCAGAGUGGUGCAUGCUCUGGUUAUCUCCCGCUUGGACUACUGCAACGCGCUCUAUGUGGGGCUACCUUUGAAGGUGACCCGGGAACUACAACUAAUCCAGAAUGCAACAGCUACACUGGUGACUGGGAGUGGCCACUGAGACCACAUAACACCAGUCCUGAAAGACUUACAUUGGCUCCCAGUACAUUUCCGGGCACAAUUCAAAGUGUUGGUGCUGACCUUUAAAGCCCUAAACAGCCUCGGCCCAGUAUACCUGAAGGAGUGUCUCCACCCCCAUCAUUCUGCCUGGACACUGAGGUCCAGCACUGAGGAACUUCUGGCGGAUCCCUCACUGCAAGAAGCAAAGUUACAGGGAAACAGGGAGAGGGCCUUCUCGAUUGUGGCGCCUGCCCUGUGGAAUGCCCUCCCAUCAGAUGUCAAAGAAAUAAAAAACUAUCAGACUUUUAGAAGACAUCUGAAGGCAGCCCUGUUUAGGGAAGAUUUUAAUAUUUGAGGAAUAAUUGUAUUUUAAUAUUCUGCUGGAAGCCACCCAGAGUGGCUGGGGAAACCCAGCCAGAUUGGAGGGGUAUAAAUAAUCAACUUUAUUAUUAUUAUUCAAAGCUAUCUCUUCUGUCCUAUUAUUUGUGGGGAGGUGGGGGGGGAUAAACAGAGCCAUUUGGAUCCAGCCAAUGGUCCAUUCAGCCCAACAUCCAAUUCUCACACCAUUCAGCUAGAUGCCUGUGGGAAACAUGCAAGCAGGACCUGAGCAUAAGAAAAUUUCUCAUCCUGCUGCUUCCAGCAACUGCUAUGAAGAAGCAUUGCUGCCUCCCACUGUAGAAGAAGAGUAUAGCUUUCAUGGUUACCAGCCAUUGAUGACAUGUAACUGCCUAGUCUAGAAGUCCAGGAGCAGAAAAGGCAGCAACCGUAUUACUGGCUGCAGUUCUGCUUAGAUAUUGUAUAACUCCUCCUGUUUUCAAACAUCUGCAUGAGUUGCCAGUACAUUUCUGGACCCAGUUGAAGGUGUUCAGGUUGGUGUUCACAGUCCCAUGUGACACAGGUCCCAAAUACCUGCAAGACUGCCUCCUUCGCAGUGCUGAGAUUGCUCAGUUAGUAGAGCGUGAGACUCUGAAUCUCAGGGUGGUGGGUUCGAGCCCCACGUUGGGUGAAAGAUUCCUGCAUGGCUGGGAGUUGGGCUGGAUUACAUUUCUCAUUGCAACAGGAGAAUCUAGACAUCCAAUAAAGGCUAUGGAUUUACAGUGUUUUCGCAUUUUUAAGAUGCCUUGUGGAACCACAUAAAAAUUUGAAGCAAUGUGAAUCAUCCAGUUCUAUGAGAUAGCAUAUGAGAUAGAAUCCUCUUAUUUUGUUACAUUGAACUGCUCACGGUUCAUUGGCAACUGCAUAACAAGUAUUUCUAUGAAGAUCGGUAAAUAAUUGCUUAACAUUAUUUAUUUAUUCGGUUCAUUUGCCACCUGUCAACAAUAUUGCACCUUGGGGUUAGCCUUCCAGAUAGUGGGUGUCAUUUAGAUAAAAUGAUUUCAUUGAAGGUAAAUGCUUGUUGGUGAAUGUAUAGGAAGGUGCCAUACAGAGUUUUAUGUCACAACUGUUUACAAUUGUUGAAACUGGAAUUUGGUGUUUCAUGGUAUUUAAACAUCUCUAUCAUGUUGCUGGGAGUUGUUAUCAGGAGAGAUAGGGCGAGGGAUCAUCUACAUGUGGGUGACACCCAUCUCCAUCACUCUGUUCCAUCUAAAUUAGGAAAGGCAGUGGAAGUGUUAGACUGUGCCUUGGAUGGGCUAAUGGAUUAGAUAUGGGCCAAUAAACCGAAACAGAUACCUGAAAAGAGAUAAAAGGGACCCAUGGAGUCAUCUAGGUCAACCACCUACAAUGCAGGAAUUGAACCCAGAAAUCCCUAACAGGUGACCAUUAAACUUCUGAUGAAAAACUUCCAAUGAAGGCGGUCCCACUGCCUUCUGAGCUAAUCCAUUCCAAUGCUAAUCAGCUCUAACCCUUAGCAAGUUAUUCCUAAUGUAUAGUCUGAAUCCCUUGCUUAUCAUUUGAAUCCCUUGGUUCAAAUCCUACCCUCUGAAAUAGCAGAAAACAAGCUAGCUCCAUCUCCCAUGUGACUGGCAUUUACAUAUUUGAAGAUGUGUGGCGCUGUGGGUUAAACCACAGAGCCUAGGACUUGCCGAUCAGAAGGUUGGCGGCGGUUCGAAUCCCCACAACAGGGUGAGCUCCCGUUGCUCGGUUCCUGCUCCUGCCAACCUAGCAGUUCAAAAGCACGUCAAAGUGCAAGUAGAUAAAUAGGUAGCGCUCCGGCGGGAAGGUAAAUGGCAUUUCCAUGUGCUGCUCUGGUUUGCCAGAAGCGGCUUAGUCAUGCUGGCCACAUGACCCGGAAGCUGUACGCCGGCUCCCUCAGCCAAUAAAGUGAGAUGCGCGCCACAACCCCAGAGUCAGCCAUGACUGGACCUAAUGGUCAGGGGUCCCUUUAGCCUUACCUUACUAUAUAACCUCACUGUCCCCUUCUUCAAGCUAAACAUAUCCAACUGCAUCAAUGAUUCCUUAUAAGGCUUGGUUUCUAGACCCUUGAUCAUCUUGGUCUUCCUCCUCUCUACACAUUCCAGCUCAUCACUAUCCUAUUUAAAUUGUGGCACCCAAACUGGACAUAGUCCUCCUGGUGGGGUCUGGUCAAGCCAAAAUGGUGUGGAACUGAUACUUCUCUUGAUCUGGACACUAUACUUAUCUUGAUGCAACCUAGAACAGCAUUAGCAGUGCAGAUUUCCAGCCAACCAAUAAGUACUAAAAUGCAAUAGAAGGGUGAAUUGUCCAUUUACAAAAUUCAUAUCUUAAUGAAAACAAUUUGGAAAUGCAUUCUAUUAGAGCAAAUUGGUUGCAAUUAUGUAUUUAUUAGUCAAUACUCCAAAAAAAGUAAAAGUGUUUAUAAGGAAAAUUUCACACAAAGGUGCUGGUAAAUUUUCAUGAGCAACUCCCUGCUGCCCCCAAGAACCACAAAUUACAACAGAAUUGUGGAGAACUAAAUAUAAGAUUGGAAAAAUGAGAAGCUAUCAGUAGCUGAAGUUGGCAGAUUCUCCCCUCCUUAUGAAUGACCAAAUUCAAGAGAUUUCCUCUCAUAAGUUUUUGACAAAGUCUACAAUCCUGUCCAUCAAUUCAACUGCAGCAGGCAAUGUGAACAGGCCUGCGUCAAAGAGGUUUAGCACCCCAUGAAAUCCAUUCUCAACAUGGAACCAGCUGACUUUCACCCCAUUGUCCUCCAGACGUUUCUUGUACAGCAGUGCAUCAUCUCAUAAUACAUCGUACUCGCAGCUCACAAUUAGGGUUUCAGGAAGCUUCUGGAUGACAAAGUCUUCAGCAAAAAGGCAAGAAAUAUCUGGUUCCAAUAGCUCUCGCAAUUGCCUAUAGACUUCAGGUUCAUAAGGAGCAAGUGGGACGUGUUUGUAGCCUCUUGCCUUAAAUCUUUCUGGAAUGUUGUCCGGACUCAACCACUUCCCAUAUUUCAGUCUCAUUUAAUCUGGCACAUGAGAGCCCUUCAGGAGCUGGCCUGCCAAAGAAGUGUUCUUUCCAAUGUACUUCAUGAUAAAGUAAGCAACAUCUUCCCGGAACAAGGGGGACAUUGAGCUGUUCUGCUGAUAGGAAGGCAGUUUGAAGUCUAUAGCCUGGAAUUUCCCAUAGAUCAGUACUUGAGCCCGUAGUUUUGGAAGGUCUGAUCUAUCCACCAGUUUCUGGGCAACAACAGUAGCAUAAUUGCCCCCCGCACUGUCCCCACCAACGAUGAUCUUGGAAGGAUCCACCCCAUGGGAAGCUGCAUUUUGAAUUAAGUGUAUGGUAGCAGCAAGGCAGUCCUUGUACUGAGUGGGAGGAAGAUGCUCAGGAGACAGGAGGUAGCUGCAGAAUAAAACAGAAGCAAAGAGGUAAGCUUCCAGAAUCUUUUCCAAACACAUUCGUGAUCACAUAAGAACACCAGAAGGGCUUGCUAGAUCAGGCUCAUGGCCAUCUACUACAGCAUCCUGUUCUCACCAGGUCCAAGCAGCUUCCUAUGAGGCACCUGCAAGCAGGGCCAAAGCACAAGGCCCUCUUCCCGCCUGUGGCUUCCAGAAACUGGUCUUCAGCAGCACUCCUGCAAGUAUCCAUGGACUGCCCUCCAAAUUCUUGCUCAAGCAUUACUGUAUAUGUGGGAUGUGCAACCCAACUGGGAUGUACACCCAGUGCUAUUUUUCUAGGAAUAAAAGGUCCAGAAAUCUUCAUGAGUACCUCCCUCAUUCUCUAAGAUUGGCAACGAUGCCCACCUAAGAGGUGCCAGAACCUACCUGAGAGGUGCUGGAACUGAGUUCCCCCUGGAAAAAAGACCUGUGCAGAUAGUGAACCAUCAAACACAUGCGGAAUCCUCUUCAAGAGGCAUUACCUCAGGUCAAGAACACAUUCCAGGCACAUAAGAUCAAAGGGGGCCUUCUCAGUAGUGGCACCUGCCCUGCAGAACGCCCUCCCACCAGAUGUCAAUGAGAAAAAUAACUACCAAACUUUUAGAAGACAUCUGAAGGCAGCCCUGUUUAGGGAAGCUCUUAAUGUUUAAUAGGUUAUUGUAUUUUAGUGUUUUGUUGGAAGCAACCCAGAGUGGCUGGGGAAGCCCACCCAGAUGGGCGGGGUGUAAAUAAUAAAUUGUUGUUGUUGUUGUUGUUGUUGUUCGUGAGUCCUGAAGGCAAGAGGCACAGCUGACUGAAUGUGUGUGACAUUUGAACCCUGGUUCUGAAGGGUCCACCCCCUGCUUCACAUACGUGUGUGUAUCCAGCCCUUCCAAUGCUGAUGGAUCACCAAAAGCUGAUUGACACAGUAAAAGAUCAUAAAGACACAAAAAAAUAAAGACACAAGGGAGCACAGAUAAAACAAUGCUCAGGAGACAGGCAGUAACUGGAGAAUAAACAAGGCCUUAUGCCCAGUUCGUAGUCCCCCCAC
Podarcis lilfordi (Lilford's wall lizard) is the source of this 10653-nucleotide non-coding RNA. The record is from the annotation of a GenBank genome assembly. Lineage: Eukaryota; Metazoa; Chordata; Lepidosauria; Squamata; Lacertidae.